This 245-nucleotide ribosomal RNA is filed under the name uncultured bacterium. RNAcentral's name for it is "partial 16S ribosomal RNA". It matches the Rfam family "Bacterial small subunit ribosomal RNA", at positions 528 to 772 of the family's 1533-position model. The record is from RNAcentral.
UAUGGUGCAAGCGUUAUCCGGUUUUACUGGGUGUAAAGGGAGCGUAGACGGAGAGGCAAGUCUGAUGUGAAAACCCGGGGCUCAACCCCGGGAGUGCAUUGGAAACUGUUUUUCUAGAGUGUCGGAGAGGCAAGUGGAAUUCCUAGUGUAGCGGUGAAAUGCGUAGAUAUUAGGAGGAACACCAGUGGCGAAGGCGGCUUGCUGGACGAUGACUGACGUUGAGGCUCGAAAGCGUGGGGAGCAAA